UUUAUUGGAGAGUUUGAUCCUGGCUCAGGAUGAACGCUGGCGGCGUGCCUAAUACAUGCAAGUCGAGCGAAUGGAUUGAGAGCUUGCUCUCAAGAAGUUAGCGGCGGACGGGUGAGUAACACGUGGGUAACCUGCCCAUAAGACUGGGAUAACUCCGGGAAACCGGGGCUAAUACCGGAUAACAUUUUGAACCGCAUGGUUCGAAAUUGAAAGGCGGCUUC
RNAcentral lists this ribosomal RNA (221 nucleotides) under Bacillus thuringiensis. RNAcentral's name for it is "partial 16S ribosomal RNA". It matches the Rfam family "Bacterial small subunit ribosomal RNA", at positions 1 to 215 of the family's 1533-position model. The record is from RNAcentral. Lineage: Bacteria; Bacillati; Bacillota; Bacilli; Caryophanales; Bacillaceae.